CUGAUUAGCUAGUUGGUGAGGUAAAAGCUCACCAAGGCAGCGAUCAGUAGCUGGUCUGAGAGGACGAUCAGCCACACUGGGACUGAGACACAGCCCAGACUCCUACGGGAGGCAGCAGUGGGGAAUUUUCCGCAAUGGGCGAAAGCCUGACGGAGCAAGACCGCGUGAGGGAGGAAGGCUCUUGGGUUGUAAACCUCUUUUCUCAGGGAAGAAGCUCUGACGGUACCUGAGGAAUCAGCCUCGGCUAACUCCGUGCCAGCAGCCGCGGUAAUACGGAGGAGGCAAGCGUUAUCCGGAAUUAUUGGGCGUAAAGCGUCCGCAGGUGGCGAUUCAAGUCUGCUGUCAAAGCACGGGGCUUAACUCCGUUAAGGCAGUGGAAACUGAAUAGCUAGAGUGCCGUAGGGGUAGAGGGAAUUCCCGGUGCAGCGGUGAAAUGCGUAGAGAUCGGGAAGAACAUCGGUGGCGAAAGCGCUCUACUGGACGGCAACUGACACUCAGGGACGAAAGCUAGGGGAGCGAAUGGGAUUAGAUACCCCAGUAGUCCUAGCUGUAAACGAUGGAUACUAGGUGUAGCUUGUAUCGACCCGAGCUGUGCCGAAGCUAACGCGUUAAGUAUCCCGCCUGGGGAGUACGCACGCAAGUGUGAAACUCAAAGGAAUUGACGGGGGCCCGCACAAGCGGUGGAGUAUGUGGUUUAAUUCGAUGCAACGCGAAGAACCUUACCAGGGCUUGACAUGUCCGGAAUCCCGGUGAAAGCUGGGAGUGCCUUCGGGAGCCGGAACACAGGUGGUGCAUGGCUGUCGUCAGCUCGUGUCGUGAGAUGUUGGGUUAAGUCCCGCAACGAGCGCAACCCUCGUCUUUAGUUGCCAGCAUUAAGUUGGGCACUCUAGAGAGACUGCCGGUGACAAACCGGAGGAAGGUGGGGAUGACGUCAAGUCAGCAUGCCCCUUACGCUCUGGGCGACACACGUACUACAAUGGUCGGGACAGAGGGCAGCGAACCUGCGAAGGCAAGCUAAUCCCAGCAAACUCGGCCUCAGUUCAGAUCGCAGGCUGCAACUCGCCUGCGUGAAGGAGGAAUCGCUAGUAAUCGCCGGUCAGAAUACGGCGGUGAAUCCGUUCCCGGGCCUUGUACACACCGCCCGUCACACCAUGGAAGCUGGCCACGCCCGAAGUCGU
RNAcentral lists this ribosomal RNA (1178 nucleotides) under uncultured organism. RNAcentral describes it as "bacterial SSU rRNA". It matches the Rfam family "Bacterial small subunit ribosomal RNA", at positions 237 to 1430 of the family's 1533-position model. The record is from RNAcentral.